RNAcentral lists this ribosomal RNA (253 nucleotides) under uncultured bacterium. Its description in RNAcentral is "partial 16S ribosomal RNA". It matches the Rfam family "Bacterial small subunit ribosomal RNA", at positions 524 to 776 of the family's 1533-position model. The record is from RNAcentral.
UACAGAGGUCCCGAGCGUUGUUCGGAUUCACUGGGCGUAAAGGGUGCGCAGGUGGGCUGGUAAGUUCGAUGUGAAAGCCCCGGGCUUAACCCGGGAAAGGCAUUGGAUACUACUGGUCUGGAGGAUUGGAGGGGGGACUGGAAUUCUUGGUGUAGCAGUGAAAUGCGUAGAUAUCAAGAGGAACACCAGUGGCGAAGGCGAGUCUCUGGACAAUUCCUGACACUGAGGCACGAAAGCCAAGGGAGCAAACAGG